AGAGUUUGAUCCUGGCUCAGGAUGAACGCUGGCGGUGUGCUUAAGGCAUGCAAGUCGAACGCUUCCUUCGGGAAGAGUGGCAGACGGGUGAGUAACACGUAGGAAUCUACCCUAAAGCGGGGGAUAACCAUCCGAAAGGAUGGCUAAUACCGCAUGUGAUCUUCGGAUUAAAGUCUUCGGACACUUUAGGAGGAGCCUGCGCACUAUCAGCUAGUUGGUGAGGUAAAUGCUCACCAAGGCUAUGACGGUUAGCCGGUGUGAGAGCACGACCGGCCACAAGGUUACUGAGACACGGAGCCUACACCUACGGGUGGCAGCAACCGGGAAUCUUGCGCAAUGGACGAAAGUCUGACGCAGCGACACCGCGUGUGGGAAGACGCUUUUCGGAGUGUAAACCACUGUGGCGAGGGACGAACUCCUACUUUUGUAGGUUUGACGGUACCUCGCUAGAAAGCACCUGCUAACUACGUGCCAGAAGCCUCGGUAAUACGUAGGGUGCAAGCGUUAUCCGGAAUUACUGGGCGUAAAGGGUCCGUCGGCGGGCCAUAAAGUUUGUUGUUAAAGCCUAGGGCUCAACUCUAGACGCGCAACGAAAACUAAUGGCCUUGAGUCAAUCAGGG
Molecule: ribosomal RNA, 620 nt
Filed under: uncultured bacterium
Lineage: Bacteria
Description: bacterial SSU rRNA
Rfam family: Bacterial small subunit ribosomal RNA
Source: RNAcentral